AGAUUGAACGCUGGCGGCAUGCCUUACACAUGCAAGUCGAACGGUAACGCGGGGCAACCUGGCGACGAGUGGCGAACGGGUGAGUAAUGCAUCGGAACGUGCCCAGUAGUGGGGGAUAGCUCGGCGAAAGCCGGAUUAAUACCGCAUACGACCUAAGGGUGAAAGCGGGGGACCGUAAGGCCUCGCGCUAUUGGAGCGGCCGAUGUCAGAUUAGGUUGUUGGUGGGUAAAAGCCUACCAAGCCGACGAUCUGUAGCUGGUCUGAGAGGACGACCAGCCACACUGGGACUGAGACGACGGCCCAGACUCCUACGGGAGGCAGCAGUGGGGAAUUUGGACAAGUGGGGGCAACCCGUGAUCCAGCCAUGCCGCGUGCGGAGAAGGCCUUCGGUUGUAACCGCUUUGUACGAGGGUAAGAACGUCUCGUGGUUAAUACCGU
Molecule: ribosomal RNA, 438 nt
Filed under: uncultured soil bacterium
Lineage: Bacteria
Description: bacterial SSU rRNA
Rfam family: Bacterial small subunit ribosomal RNA
Source: RNAcentral